AUUGAACGCUGGCGGCAUGCCUUACACAUGCAAGUCGAACGGUAACGGGCCUUCGGGUGCCGACGAGUGGCGAACGGGUGCGUAAUGUAUCGGAACGUACCAUUGAGUGGGGGAUAACGUAGCGAAAGUUACGCUAAUACCGCAUAUUCUCUCCGGAGGAAAGCAGGGGACCGCAAGGCCUUGCGCGCUUUGAGCGGCCGAUAUCAGAUUAUCUAGUUGGUGGGGUAAAAGCUCACCAAGGCGACGAUCUGUAGCGGGUCUGAGAGGAUGAUCCGCCACACUGGAACUGAGACACGGUCCAGACUCCUACGGGAGGCAGCAGUGGGGAAUUUUGGACAAUGGGGCAACCCUGAUCCAGCCAUGCCGCGUGAGUGAAGAAGGCCUUCGGGUUGUAAAGCUCUUUCAGCCGGGAAGAAAACGCACUCUCUAAUACAGGGUGUGGAUGACGGUACCGGAAUAAGAAGCACCGGCUAACUACGUGCCAGCAGCCGCAGUAA
This 497-nucleotide ribosomal RNA is filed under the name uncultured bacterium. RNAcentral's name for it is "partial 16S ribosomal RNA". It matches the Rfam family "Bacterial small subunit ribosomal RNA", at positions 30 to 523 of the family's 1533-position model. The record is from RNAcentral.